Molecule: unclassified non-coding RNA, 216 nt
Filed under: uncultured fungus
Lineage: Eukaryota; Fungi
Description: sequence contains ITS1
Source: RNAcentral
UUAUUUAUUGUGUUUUUCGCUCGGACAUCACUGAUAAACAGAUUUUAAUGGGCCUCUGGCGAGCGCUCGCCGGCCUGUGGGCGGCGCGAGAGGUCCUCGGACCCGCCAAAGCAACAAAGGUUGGUACACAAAGGGUGAAGAGUUAGGGGCCGAGACCCCCGGGAGCGCGAAGCCCCUCUCUCAGUAAUGAUCCUUCCGCAGGUUCACCUACGGAAA